This 346-nucleotide ribosomal RNA is filed under the name uncultured eukaryote. Its description in RNAcentral is "SSU rRNA". It matches the Rfam family "Eukaryotic small subunit ribosomal RNA", at positions 594 to 945 of the family's 1831-position model. The record is from RNAcentral.
GUAGCGUAUAUUAAAGUUGUUGCAGUUAAAAAGCUCGUAGUCGAACUUCGGAUCUGGCGGGAUGGUCCGCCUUACGGUGUGUACUGUCCGGCCGGAUCUUACCUCUUGGUGAAGCCGUAUGCCCUUUACUGGGUGUGCGGUGGAACCAGGACUUUUACCUUGAGAAAAUUAGAGUGUUCAAAGCAGGCCUAUGCCCGAAUACAUUAGCAUGGAAUAAUAAAAUAGGACGUGCGGUUCUAUUUUGUUGGUUUCUAGAGUCGCCGUAAUGAUUAAUAGGGAUAGUUGGGGGCAUUGGUAUUGAGUCGCUAGAGGUGAAAUUCUUGGAUUGACUCAAGACCAACUAUUG